AAGUCGUAACAAGGUUUCCGUAGGUGAACCUGCGGAAGGAUCAUUAAAGAAUUCGGCUUCGCGGCCAAGUUCUCACCCUUGUAUAUCGCAACAAUGUCGCUUGGCUGGCCCUUGGCAGUUCCCUCGGUUCCUGGCCGCAGGUGUAACCACUAGAAUCUCUGCUGUCUGAGUACUAUGCAAUAGUUAAAA
RNAcentral lists this unclassified non-coding RNA (189 nucleotides) under plant metagenome. RNAcentral's name for it is "partial contains small subunit ribosomal RNA and internal transcribed spacer 1". The stretch from base 1 to 46 matches the Rfam family "Eukaryotic small subunit ribosomal RNA", at positions 1786 to 1831 of the family's 1831-position model. The record is from RNAcentral.